Non-coding RNA from Hydra vulgaris (swiftwater hydra), 691 nucleotides. NCBI's taxonomy places the organism in Eukaryota, Metazoa, Cnidaria, Hydrozoa, Anthoathecata, Hydridae. The record is from RefSeq and is a predicted model, not a curated record.
ACCUAUUAACUGGCUGCAAUAUGAAGAUGAAAAGUGCAUUUGUUUAUGGCUGUUGUAUACUUCUGACCUUAAUAUCAAUAAAGUGAUAAAAUCUGCUGACCCUCUCAAAUCUAUUUGGAAACUAUUUUUUGUUAAAUUGCUGCAUUCUUACACACAUGUGAAGUUGCUAAUUCCAAGUUGGAUAUUGCAGAGGACUGCUCAGAACUUCCAACAGAAUCAGAUAUUGACGCAAAAAAAAAGGAAAGCGGAAAGGUCAUUACCAGUUUUAUGGAAUGAAUUGUGUGAUUCAGAUUCCGAUUAUUCAAAUCUGAAAAUGGAAAGAAGUUUUCGGUAUCAAUUUCAACCUCAAACCUGAAGUUUCCUACUCCUCCUCAGUUGCAAUCCGAAAUUCAAAAUGGGCCUCUUCAAAAUGCAUCAUCUACUAUCUGCUCUCUUUCGUCAUUAUUUUUAAACGAUUUAUCUUUUAGUAAAAAAGGAAAUGAUCAUCAAAAACUAAUAUUAUUAGAAGAGAUUAAACAAAAUAAUCAAACUAUAGUUUUUCUUUUGCAACAAUUAUCAGCACAACAGCAGCGUGGUAAAAUAGAAACAAGUUUUGAUGAGUUUGGGCUUCCUGUUUCAUUAAUGGAACAUUUACAAAAACUAGAAACAGAUUGCCUUGACAAUAACCUCCGAUGAGAGUUUGUAAGAUAUU